UAGUGUUAUAGCUCUUUUAGAAUUUGUUUAGCACGUUUCCUGUUUUCACUGGAAAACUCUC
This 61-nucleotide small nuclear RNA is filed under the name Callithrix jacchus (white-tufted-ear marmoset). Its description in RNAcentral is "U7 small nuclear RNA (ENSCJAG00000082579.1)". It matches the Rfam family "U7 small nuclear RNA". Rfam says of the family: Animal histone pre-mRNAs are spliced by a different mechanism than nuclear pre-mRNAs and self-splicing introns. Lineage: Eukaryota; Metazoa; Chordata; Mammalia; Primates; Cebidae. The record is from Rfam by way of RNAcentral.